Molecule: ribosomal RNA, 468 nt
Filed under: uncultured bacterium
Lineage: Bacteria
Description: partial 16S ribosomal RNA
Rfam family: Bacterial small subunit ribosomal RNA
Source: RNAcentral
GACGAACGCUGGCGGCGUGCUUAACACAUGCAAGUCGAACGGAAAGGCUCCAGCUUGCUGGGGUACUCGAGUGGCGAACGGGUGAGUAACACGUGGGUGAUCUGCCCUGCACUUCGGGAUAAGCCUGGGAAACUGGGGCUAAUACCGGAUAGGACCGCACUUUGGUGUGUGUGGUGGAGAGGGUUUUCUGGGUUGGGAUGAGCUCGCGGCCUAUCAGUUUGUUGGUGGGGUAAUGGCCUACCAAGACGGCGACGGGUAGCCGGGCUGAGAGGGUGGACGGGCAACAUGGGGCUGAGGUACGGCCCAGACUCCUACGGGGGGCAGCAGGUGGGAAUAUUGCACAAUGGGGGAAAACCUGAUGCAGCGACGCCGCGGGGGGGAUGAAGGCCUUCGGGUUGUAAACCCGCUUCGCUAGGGACGAAGCUUUUUGUGACGGUAACUGGAGAAGAAGCACCGGCUAACUACGUG